AUACGUAGGUGGCGAGCGUUGUCCGGAUUUACUGGGCGUAAAGGGAGCGUAGGCGGUAUUUUUAAGUGAGGUGUGAAAUACUCGGGCUUAACCUGAGUGCUGCAUUCCAAACUGGAUAUCUAGAGUGCAGGAGAGGAAAGUAGAAUUCCUAGUGUAGCGGUGAAAUGCGUAGAGAUUAGGAAGAAUACCAGUGGCGAAGGCGACUUUCUGGACUGUAACUGACACUGAGGCUCGAAAGCGUGGGGAGC
RNAcentral lists this ribosomal RNA (248 nucleotides) under uncultured bacterium. Its description in RNAcentral is "partial 16S ribosomal RNA". It matches the Rfam family "Bacterial small subunit ribosomal RNA", at positions 523 to 769 of the family's 1533-position model. The record is from RNAcentral.